This 934-nucleotide long non-coding RNA is filed under the name Danio rerio (zebrafish). RNAcentral's name for it is "si:dkey-8o15.3 (ENSDARG00000102054.2)". The record is from RNAcentral. Lineage: Eukaryota; Metazoa; Chordata; Actinopteri; Cypriniformes; Danionidae.
ACAAAUAAACAAAAGCUCUUAUUUAUGGCACAUUAAAGCGAAGACUUCCAAAAUUUGUAAAUUAAAAGCGAGUAGUUUCUGUUGUGGGUAAUUUGGCGCCAAGCUGUAUAUUCACGCGCUAAAUAUAACGCUGAAUAAAAGCUGAUUUACUCAAUAAAUGCUGUCUAACAGUGUUUUUAGAACUAUAGAAUUAAUACAUGCUAAUGUCUUACCUUUAAAUAGUUGAAUUUGUUGACUGUGUGUGCUAUAAUCAAAAGCUGUAGUUUCUCUGCUCCUGAAACCGACUUCCUCCGCCGUCAAACUAGCGCCAAAUGUGAUGUUGUGAACUCCUUCUCGGAUCAGCUGGUGCGUUGGUAUGUGACGUACAUCCUACAACAACCGCAUUUCAUUGGCUCUCGAAGGUCCUCUUGUUUUAGGAACCAAUAGGAUUCCUAUUAGUCCCUUCCCCCCCAGUGGUUUGACUGUAAAGGCGGGUGUCGCUUUGUUGGCGUUUGGCGGAAAAAUUUUCCCGGUAAAUAUGAAGAUUAUGUUUUGGACAGCGGGGUUUUAAAUGGUGUAAAAACCGAAGCUUUCAACCAGAUAAAGUGCUGGAGGGUCCAAAAAAUAUUUCAAAUCUCAUCUGGGAAAUAUAACUCGAUGCAUCUUGCGGCAGAACACAUACAUUGCAACAAGGCAUUAUGGGAUUGACAUGGUUGCAGAACAGAAAUGGCUCAGGAAGAGGUUUGCAUUCUUCAAGGAUGGAGAAUAUAAAACAACACCUACAUAAAAAUAUACAUCUCCUAUUUUAUUUGUAUUGUUGUUUUUUCGAAUAUGAAUAUGUGCCUGUUAUUAUUUCUGUGCCAACAGCGCCCCCAGCUGGACAGAGUAUGGUCAUAUCAAGUCAAAUCUAAAACUUAAGACCGCUUAAAAUGUAUAAAUUGUUUUUUAAAUAGAG